This 842-nucleotide long non-coding RNA is filed under the name Felis catus (domestic cat). Its description in RNAcentral is "lncRNA (ENSFCAG00000044838.2)". Lineage: Eukaryota; Metazoa; Chordata; Mammalia; Carnivora; Felidae. The record is from RNAcentral.
CUCUCGGGGCCCUGUGAGGAUGAAGGAAGUACCCCAUGCAAACGUGAUGUAAGUUCUAAUUCUUCAUGCACCUGUAUCUUCUCUCUCCAGGGAGGCUGAAUUUUCCUAAGAGUACGAAUCAAGCGGCUCCUCUACCUGUAAAACGGGGAAUUCGCCUGGUGUGCAUUGGGAUCUAAAGGGAUCUCUGGGAUGUUGUGGCUGGAGAGAGACACAUGUGGAUGGUGUUGGACACUGGAUUUGUCCAUCAGAGCUCAAGGAGUCAGAAGUCACUGUGGAAGGACCAUGGGGGAUAAUUUAAGGAGCUCCAAGACCCCAUCUCACGACCGGGAAUACACUUGGAGGCAGGCACAGCCACCUGCUGGUUUCUCCUGAUGACAACUGUUGACCGGCACCUAACGUCGUGUGUGGCUCACCUGGCUGGAAGCCCCACCUGUGGAAAGGGAAAGGGAGAGGCAAGGCGGGGAACUGGAGAGGAGGGGGCAAGUCAUUUUAGAGCUUUAUGAAGCCCUGAGUAUUAGCGCGUCCUUUCAAUCACUGCCCCCCCAAAGAACCGCGUAGGCAUGGUUCGUCUCCAUCCGAAGACAUCAAGACAUUUAUAGCUACACGUAAAAUGUCUAUAUACGUAUAUAAAUUUGUACGCACAUGUAAGGAGGCAAAACACUGACUGCCCUCACAGCGGGCACCGAACUCCCACAGGGCAUAGGCAGUCCCUGAGAAAUUUCCUUGAUAAGCCACCGGACCGGAGAGAGACUCUGAAGGCAACGUUGUCAUCUGGACCGUCGAAUAACAAGUUGGCCUGCUACCGAAAAUGGAAAAAAAAUUUAACUUUUGCUUCUGGGGGG